UAGGCAUAAUGAUGAAACAUUAUCUGAUAAUUUCUUGUGAUGAGAAUUACCUCCUACUCAUACUGA
Small nucleolar RNA from Quercus robur (English oak), 66 nucleotides. RefSeq annotates it as small nucleolar RNA Z105. Lineage: Eukaryota; Viridiplantae; Streptophyta; Magnoliopsida; Fagales; Fagaceae. The record is from RefSeq and is a predicted model, not a curated record. The transcript has a single exon.